Molecule: long non-coding RNA, 232 nt
Filed under: Elaeis guineensis (African oil palm)
Lineage: Eukaryota; Viridiplantae; Streptophyta; Magnoliopsida; Arecales; Arecaceae
Description: long non-coding RNA (EGUI_LNC043817)
Source: RNAcentral
AAGUCAGUAGAAAGUGAUUGAACAGGAAGUAGAAUAUCAAAAUUGACAAAGUAUCAGUCCAGAAGUAUCUUACCCCUUGCCUAUUCCCUUACCUCCUUUUUAUAGGUGACUCGGAUAUAACUGUCAAGCACAUGGUUCCGCUUUUUAUAGUACUAAGGGGUAGUUAUUUCGAUUAUCGAAUCAUAAUUAUAGAGUUAGUGGAUAAUUUAUACCUUCUAACGAUCGUGGUAUG